This 439-nucleotide ribosomal RNA is filed under the name uncultured bacterium. Its description in RNAcentral is "partial 16S ribosomal RNA". It matches the Rfam family "Bacterial small subunit ribosomal RNA", at positions 339 to 795 of the family's 1533-position model. The record is from RNAcentral.
CUACGGGGUGCACCAGUGAGGAAUAUUGCGCAAUGGAGGAAACUCUGACGCAGCCAUGCCGCGUGAGUGACGAAGGCCCUAGGGUUGUAAAGCUCUUUCAGAUGCGAAGAUAAUGACGGUAACAUCAGAAGAAGCUCCGGCUAAAUUCGUGCCAGCAGCCGCGGUAAUACGAAUGGAGCGAGCGUUGUUCGGAAUCACUGGGCGUAAAGCGUAUGUAGGCGGACAUGAAAGUCAGAAGUGAAAUCCCAGGGCUCAACCCCGGAAUUGCUUUUGAAACUCCAUGUCUCGAGUCCCGGAGGGGUUGACGGAAUUCCGAGUGUAGAGGUGAAAUUCGCAGAUAUUCGGAGGAACACCAGUGGCGUAGGCGGUCAACUGGACGGGAACUGACGCUGAGAUACGAAAGCGGGGGGAGCAAACAGGAUUAGAUACCCCAGUAGUC